GAUGAACGCUGGCGGCGUGCCUAAUACAUGCAAGUCGAGCGAACAGACGAGGAGCUUGCUCCUCUGACGUUAGCGGCGGACGGGUGAGUAACACGUGGAUAACCUACCUAUAAGACUGGGAUAACUUCGGGAAACCGGAGCUAAUACCGGAUAAUAUAUUGAACCGCAUGGUUCAAUAGUGAAAGACGGUUUUGCUGUCACUUAUAGAUGGAUCCGCGCCGCAUUGGCUAGUUGGUAAGGUAACGGCUUACCAAGGCAACGAUGCGUAGCCGACCUGAGAGGGUGAUCGGCCACACUGGAACUGAGACACGGUCCAGACUCCUACGGGAGGCAGCAGUAGGGAAUCUUCCGCAAUGGGCGAAAGCCUGACGGAGCAACGCCGCGUGAGUGAUGAAGGUCUUCGGAUCGUAAAACUCUGUUAUUAGGGAAGAACAAAUGUGUAAGUAACUAUGCACGUCUUGACGGUACCUAAUCAGAAAGCCACGGCUAACUACGU
RNAcentral lists this ribosomal RNA (496 nucleotides) under uncultured bacterium. RNAcentral describes it as "partial 16S ribosomal RNA". It matches the Rfam family "Bacterial small subunit ribosomal RNA", at positions 28 to 506 of the family's 1533-position model. The record is from RNAcentral.